UCGAGACGAUGGACACAAUUUUGGUAGGAUUUCAUGCUAGUGGCUGGAUGGGCUCAGGAUAAUCGAUCGUUACAAACACUUGUGUGCGUUGGCAAAUAACUCCUUGCUAAAUAAGUGAAAUUUCACAGGAUAUGGUGAGCGUUAGAGAGGAUGCACGGCUUCUAAAAGACAAUUAAGCAUAAGCAUGUUUCUAACCUGAGGUUGUCAUCCUCAAGAGCAGAAAAAUUUCAUGGGUGCGGAGCACAAACUAAAGCAAUGCGUAUGUGCUGGUGAACGGGAUUGCAAGCUUUAACUGGCCACAGGAGCCUCAAAACAGAGUAAGAAGCUGGGAGAUAACUUCCAUGAAGGCAAGAAAGAUUGUAAAGACCUCACUUUAAUUAAAUAAUUAACAUUCUUCCACAAAAAAAAAAUAACUAACAUGCAAACUUGCCUACGAUUUAACUCAUACUUAAUAUGAGACUGGACAUUGCUAAUUAAAUUCCAAACUACCAGAUGAGAAUAUCAAACAACUAACAGAUUGUAAUGGUUUUUUUUUCAAAAAAGAAACAAAAAACUCAGAGAUGGAUAUCUAGCCAGUAACUAUGUCAAUUCAUGAACUGCAACCCUGUUAAUACCAGUCUAUCAACAUAUAAUCCAAGGCAGAAAGUCAGUAAAAUACAGUAGAAUUGAAAAUCUAAUUACUUCAAAUGGCUGCUACACGGUCACUAUUUACCCUGAAAGGAGGGAAGCCAUACUUUACAGAUUGUUUCCAUUCAUGAUUUAACCUGCUCGGUCAAUUUAGAUGAAAUCAAGAAAGAAUGAGGUAAAGAAUACCAUAUUGCAAAGUCCUUUUUUUUUCCUUUUGAGAAAAACCACAGUAGAAAUUUCAAAAAACAAUUUAUGAGAAAGAAGGGUGCUGCCAUUAUUGCCCAUGUCACAGCAUGAGAUUCUAAGACUAGAAUCUCUACCAAACAGCUAUGAGGUUAGCUGGUUAGCACCACUCUCCUUCAAGAGCUUAUCCCUGGAAGGUUCAAACUCUGGUGGUAAUGCAUUAUUACUGUAUACUAGAAGCAAUUUUUGUGUAGCAAUCCUAAUCAAUUUUUCUGAAGGAAAGGAAGAAAAGGGGGGAAAAAAACAGAGGAAAACUUCAUAUUGACCUAUAACGAAUAGUUUGUAAGGAACUGGAUUUAUCUUCAACCCUGCUUGAAUUCAAGGAACACCUAUCUAUGGUGGGCCUAUCAAGAAAGAGAACUUAUAAAAUUCAUGGGAUCCCAGAGAACUCAAAUAACAGUAACCUAAAUGCUUUCAGACAUUCAGAAAAUGCAAGUUCUGUCCAUUCAUGGGAU
RNAcentral lists this long non-coding RNA (1325 nucleotides) under Phoenix dactylifera (date palm). RNAcentral's name for it is "long non-coding RNA (PDAC_LNC008138)". The record is from RNAcentral. Lineage: Eukaryota; Viridiplantae; Streptophyta; Magnoliopsida; Arecales; Arecaceae.